GGGAACGUGCCUUCUGGUUCGGAAUAACCCUGGGAAACUAGGGCUAAUACCGGAUACGCCCUUAUGGGGAAAGGUUUACUGCCGGAAGAUCGGCCCGCGUCUGAUUAGCUAGUUGGUGGGGUAACGGCCUACCAAGGCGACGAUCAGUAGCUGGUCUGAGAGGAUGAUCAGCCACACUGGGACUGAGACACGGCCCAGACUCCUACGGGAGGCAGCAGUGGGGAAUAUUGGACAAUGGGCGCAAGCCUGAUCCAGCCACGCCGCGUGAGUGAUGAAGGCCUUAGGGUUGUAAAGCUCUUUUAUCCGGGACGAUAAUGACGGUACCGGAGGAAUAAGCCCCGGCUAACUUCGUGCCAGCAGCCGCGGUAAUACGAAGGGGGCUAGCGUUGCUCGGAAUCACUGGGCGUAAAGGGCGCGUAGGCGGCGUUUUAAGUCGGGGGUGAAAGCCUGUGGCUCAACCACAGAAUGGCCUUCGAUACUGGGACGCUUGAGUAUGGUAGAGGUUGGUGGAACUGCGAGU
Molecule: ribosomal RNA, 520 nt
Filed under: uncultured bacterium
Lineage: Bacteria
Description: bacterial SSU rRNA
Rfam family: Bacterial small subunit ribosomal RNA
Source: RNAcentral